RNAcentral lists this ribosomal RNA (830 nucleotides) under uncultured bacterium. Its description in RNAcentral is "bacterial SSU rRNA". It matches the Rfam family "Bacterial small subunit ribosomal RNA", at positions 60 to 903 of the family's 1533-position model. The record is from RNAcentral.
AGUCGAACGAGCGAGAGAGAGCUUGCUUUCUCGAGCGAGUGGCGAACGGGUGAGUAACGCGUGAGGAACCUGCCUCAAAGAGGGGGACAACAGUUGGAAACGACUGCUAAUACCGCAUAAGCCCACGACCCGGCAUCGGGUAGAGGGAAAAGGAGCAAUCCGCUUUGAGAUGGCCUCGCGUCCGAUUAGCUAGUUGGUGAGGUAACGGCCCACCAAGGCGACGAUCGGUAGCCGGACUGAGAGGUUGAACGGCCACAUUGGGACUGAGACACGGCCCAGACUCCUACGGGAGGCAGCAGUGGGGAAUAUUGCACAAUGGGGGAAACCCUGAUGCAGCGACGCCGCGUGGAGGAAGAAGGUCUUCGGAUUGUAAACUCCUGUUGUUGAGGAAGAUAAUGACGGUACUCAACAAGGAAGUGACGGCUAACUACGUGCCAGCAGCCGCGGUAAAACGUAGGUCACAAGCGUUGUCCGGAAUUACUGGGUGUAAAGGGAGCGCAGGCGGGAAGACAAGUUGGAAGUGAAAUCCAUGGGCUCAACCCAUGAACUGCUUUCAAAACUGUUUUUCUUGAGUAGUGCAGAGGUAGGCGGAAUUCCCGGUGUAGCGGUGGAAUGCGUAGAUAUCGGGAGGAACACCAGUGGCGAAGGCGGCCUACUGGGCACCAACUGACGCUGAGGCUCGAAAGUGUGGGUAGCAAACAGGAUUAGAUACCCUGGUAGUCCACACUGUAAACGAUGAUUACUAGGUGUUGGAGGAUUGACCCCAUCAGUGCCGCAGUUAACACAAUAAGUAAUCCACCUGGGGAGUACGACCGCAAGGUUGAAACUCA